ACAACCCAAAUGUAGACAAAAUACAUGCAAGCAUAGAAAACAUACGGUGGACACACACAAACACAUAUAAAACCAUGCAGCGCUUCAUAGAAACACCCUUUAAGGUACACUCAAGCAGGCUGAGUGUAGAGGUGGAAAAUUACUGCUCUGAUCCGACCUCCUCAUGCACAAUCAAGACUCAAGCCGGGGUCUGCGCGAUCACACCAGAAGGUGACACCAGCCGGUGGUCAUUUCUCUCUCACUGACCGGUUCUGUGUUGGAACCACAACCACGCCAUCGCCACGCGACGUCCCGGGGCCAGAAAACCAGAAAAUGUGCCAUCCAGGGAGCUUCAGUAGGAGAGUGAGAAACAAUAAAAAAGAAGAUGAAGAGGACGAUAGUGAAGGAAGCAGCAACAGUUGCAGACAGUGCUCUCUCUCUCUCUCUCUUUUUUUUUCUCCAUGAGCUUUCUCUCAGGUAUGUUAAGAGGCAGCAUGCUGCUGCUAUUGCAGCAGCAGCAACAGCAGCAGUGUGUCUUUGGCUGACCUAUUUAGGUAAUUGCACUCUUCAUUAAAAAAA
Oreochromis niloticus (Nile tilapia) is the source of this 558-nucleotide long non-coding RNA. RefSeq lists it as uncharacterized. The transcript has 3 exons. The record is from RefSeq and is a predicted model, not a curated record. NCBI's taxonomy places the organism in Eukaryota, Metazoa, Chordata, Actinopteri, Cichliformes, Cichlidae.